GGAUGGAGGGAUAGAGAGAUGGAGGGAUAGAGGGUAUAGAGGAGUGGAUGGAGGCAUAGAGGGUAUAGAGGAGUGGAUGGAGGCAUAGAGAGAUGGAGGGAUAGAGGGUAUAGAGGAGUGGAUGGAGGGAUAGAGAGAUGGAGGGAUAGAGGGUAUAGAGGAGUGGAUGGAGGCACAGAGGGUAUAGAGGAGUGGAUGGAGGCAUAGAGAGAUGGAGGGAUAGAUGGUAUAGAGGAGUGGAUAGAGGGAUAGAGGGUAUAGAGGAGUGGAUGGAGGGAAGGAGGGUAUAGAGGAGUGGAUGGAGGGAUUGAGGGUAUAGGGGAGUGGAUGGAGGGAUAGAGGGUAUAGAGGAGUGGAUGGAGGGAUAGAGGGUAUAGAGGAGUGGAUGGAGGGAUAGAGGGUAUAGAGGAGUGGAUGGAGGCACAGAGAGGUGGAGGGAUAGAGGGUAUAGAGGAGUGGAUGAAGGGAUAGAGAGAUGGAGGGAUAGGGAGAGAGAGUGGAUGGAGGCAUAGAGGGUAUAGAGGAGUGGAUGGAGGGAUAGAUGAUAUAGGAGUGGAUGGAGGGAUAGAGGGUAUAGAGGAGUGGAUGGAGGCAUAGAGAGAUGGAGGGGUAGAGGGUAUAGAGGAGUGGAUGGAGGGAUAGAGGGUAUAGAGGAGUGGAUGGAGGCAUAGAGAGAUGGAGGGAUAGAUGGUAUAGAGGAGUGGAUGGAGGGAUAGAGGGUAUAGAGGAGUGGAUGGAGGGAUAGAGGGUAUAGAGGAGUGGAUGGAGGGAUAGAGGGUAUAGAAGAGUGGAUGGAGGGAUAGAGGGUAUAGAGGAGUGGAUGGAGUUAUAGAGGAGUGGAUGGAGGGAUAGAGGGUAUAGAGGAGUGGAUGGAGGUAUAGAGGAGUGGAUGGAGGGAUAGAGGGUAUAGAGGAGUGGAUGGAGGUAUAGAGGAGUGGAUGGAGGGAUAGAGGGUAUAGAGGAGUGGAUGGAGGAAUAGAGGGUAUAGAGGAGUGGAUGGAGGGAUAGAGGGUAUAGAGGAGUGGAUGGAGGGAUAGAGGGUAUAGAGGAGUGGAUGGAGGGAUAGAGGGUAUAGAGGAGUGGAUGGAGGGAUAGAGGGUAUAGAGAAGUGGAUGGAGGGAUAGAGGGUAUAGAGGAGUGGAUGGAGGGAUGGAGAGGGUAUAGAGGAGUGGAUGGAGGGAUAGAGGGUAUAGAGGAGUGGAUGGAGGGAUAGAGGGUAUAGAGGAGUGGAUGGAGGGAUAGAGGGUAUAGAGGAGUGGAUGGAGGGAUAGAGGGUAUAGAGAAGUGGAUGGAGGUAUAGAGGAGUGGAUGGAGGGAUAGAGGGUAUAGAGGAGUGGAUGGAGGGAUAGAGGGUAUAGAGGAGUGGAUGGAGGGAUAGAGGGUAUAGAGGAGUGGAUGGAGGGAUAGAGGGUAUAGAGGAGUGGAUGGAGGGAUAGAGGGUAUAGAGGAGUGGAUGGAGGGAUAGAGGGUAUAGAGGAGUGGAUGGAGGGAUAGAGGGUAUAGAGGAGUGGAUGGAGGGAUAGAAGGUAUAGAGGAGUGGAUGGAGGGAUAGAGAGAUGGAGGGAUAUAGGGUAUAGAGGAGUGGAUGGAGGCAUAGAGGGUAUAGAGGAGUGGAUGGAGGCAUAGAGAUUGAGGGAUAGAGGGUAUAGAGGAGUGGAUGGAGGGAUAGAGAGAUGGAGGGAUAGUGGGUAUAGAGGAGUGGAUGGAGGCAUAGAGGGUAUAGAGGAGUGGAUGGAGGCAUAGAGAGAUGGAGGGAUAGAGGGUAUAGAGGAGUGGAUGGAGGCAUAGAGAGAUGGAGGGAUAGAGGGUAUAGAGGAGUGGAUGGAGGGAUAGAGGGUAUAGAGGAGUGGAUGGAGGCAUAGAGAGAUGGAGGGAUAGAGGGUAUAGAGGAGUGGAUGGAGGCACAGAGAGAUGGAGGGAUAGAGGGUAUAGAGGAGUGGAUGGAGGCAUAGAGAGAUGGAGGGAUAGAGGGUAUAGAGGAGUGGAUGGAGGGAUAGAGAGAUGGAGGGAUAGAGGGUAUAGAGGAGUGGAUGGAGGCAUAGAGGGUAUAGAGGAGUGGAUGGAGGCAUAGAGAGAUGGAGGGAUAGAUGGUAUAGAGGAGUGGAUAGAGGGAUAGAGGGUAUAGAGGAGUGGAUGGAGGGAUAGAGGGUAUAGAGGAGUGGAUGGAUG
This is a long non-coding RNA of Oncorhynchus tshawytscha (Chinook salmon), 2169 nucleotides long. Lineage: Eukaryota; Metazoa; Chordata; Actinopteri; Salmoniformes; Salmonidae. The record is from Ensembl.